Long non-coding RNA from Macaca mulatta (Rhesus monkey), 694 nucleotides. Lineage: Eukaryota; Metazoa; Chordata; Mammalia; Primates; Cercopithecidae. The record is from Ensembl.
GGCGGGUGGGGAAAUAGUCAGAAAUAGAAUGGCACUUCAAGUACCUUGAGAACUAUUAUUAAUGUUCUGACUCACAAUCAAAGGCCACAAAGAAUAACAGCUCCAAUUCUGAAUAACAGUUAAAAUCCUAGAACAGGGGUAAAGGACGAAGCAAAUGAAUGGAAUUUUCUAAACAACCCAAAAGGGGAAAGAGAGAGGGAGAACCUGGAGAAUCCUGUCAGUAGUAGAAAUCAGAAAAUAACCGGCAUUCAUCAGAUUUAAUUUCUGCAAACCAACCAGUGUCCUGGAAAUCAGACAUUUACUCAGCAACUCUGUGGGCUAUUGUGCAGAGAUGCUACCUGGUGUAUGUCUGGAAGAUAGCAGAUUGUGGAUCCCAGGGUGACAUUGCUGUGACAGGCUGACAUUGCUGUGGGCAGGAACUAGAGGGAGAACAAUCUAAGAGACCUGAUUCUCAUCAGAAAGAGAAUCUGCUAUAAUCCUCAUCUUGAGAAUGUAUAAUCUCUAAUCCUCAUCUUAGACUCACCUCUACCUGAUGACUUACCGGUAAGCAAUAACAUGUGACUGAAAUAGAGGUCUUGGAGCAGCCAGGCGUUUUCCAUGGUGGGUUUGUUAAAAUCAAUAUCACAUUUAUUUAGAUAAGAAUACCAAGUCAUACAGAAUGUUCUCCCUGGCAAACCGGGUUGAGAUGGGAAAG